Molecule: transfer RNA, 216 nt
Filed under: Metarhizium anisopliae
Lineage: Eukaryota; Fungi; Ascomycota; Sordariomycetes; Hypocreales; Clavicipitaceae
Description: tRNA-Ile
Source: RNAcentral
AAUAUUAUAAGUAAAUAAACUAAAAGAAUUAUAUAAAAAAAUAUAAUAUAAAUUAGAAUUUAUAUAAAAUAAAAUAAUAUAAUAUUAUAAUUAUAAAAAAUUUAAAAAAACUAAUUUUUAAGAAAAAAAAUAUAAUUUAUUUACUUUAAUAAAAUAUUAAAAUAAUAUAAUUAAGUAAUAAAUUAAAUUAUAAGAAAUUAAAACUAUUUAUUAUUA